Molecule: long non-coding RNA, 448 nt
Organism: Heterocephalus glaber (naked mole-rat)
Lineage: Eukaryota; Metazoa; Chordata; Mammalia; Rodentia; Bathyergidae
Source: RefSeq, a predicted model, not a curated record
CAGCUUCUCCCAGUGGGGCAGGAUGUCCAGGAGGGUCACGCCUUCAGCUCUUACCCGGGGCUGCCCAUUGAGCUCAUACACUCUGCCAGGCUGGAGGAAGGCCUUCAGGGAUGUGUGGGGCCCUUAAAGGCUCACCUUCUACCUUCCAGAUCGCUCGCUCAGGCCAGAACCAACAGCACACAGAAUUCCAUCCCUGCACCUCUUCCCUUCUCCCAGCGCUGCAGACAUCCCUCUCAUCGGAAAACCGGGCUCAGAGGAGCAAGCAAUCAGCAAAGAACUCUGGCUGAAUUAAUGGCGGCUUCCAGAAGCUCCUGCUCCUCUGACAGCUGUCGCUCGGGCAGCCUGGAGACGAAUUGUCCUUCUUCCUGGUGCCAGAGGACGCAGGAUAUUAGCCAGGUUGAGAGUUGCAAAGCGGCUGCCGCGGCGCCGGGAACUGGGCGCGCUCCAC